UAAACGACUCUCGGCAACGGAUAUCUCGGCUCUCGCAUCGAUGAAGAACGUAGCGAAAUGCGAUACUUGGUGUGAAUUGCAGAAUCCCGUGAACCAUCGAGUCUUUGAACGCAAGUUGCGCCCGAGGCCUUUGGCCGAGGGCACGUCUGCCUGGGCGUCACGC
RNAcentral lists this ribosomal RNA (163 nucleotides) under Stellaria media. RNAcentral's name for it is "5.8S ribosomal RNA". It matches the Rfam family "5.8S ribosomal RNA". From Rfam's summary of the family: 5.8S ribosomal RNA (5.8S rRNA) is a component of the large subunit of the eukaryotic ribosome. It is transcribed by RNA polymerase I as part of the 45S precursor that also contains 18S and 28S rRNA. Functionally, it is thought that 5.8S rRNA may be involved in ribosome translocation. Lineage: Eukaryota; Viridiplantae; Streptophyta; Magnoliopsida; Caryophyllales; Caryophyllaceae. RNAcentral also lists the same sequence under 1 other name. The record is from RNAcentral.